This 391-nucleotide unclassified non-coding RNA is filed under the name soil metagenome. RNAcentral describes it as "partial contains 5.8S ribosomal RNA, internal transcribed spacer 2, and large subunit ribosomal RNA". The stretch from base 1 to 122 matches the Rfam family "5.8S ribosomal RNA", at positions 35 to 154 of the family's 154-position model. The record is from RNAcentral.
GAUGAAGAACGUAGUAAAAUGCGAUACUUGGUGUGAAUUGCAGAAUCCCGUGAACCAUCGAGUCUUUGAACGCAAGUUGCGCCCGAAGCCAUUAGGCCGAGGGCACGCCUGCCUGGGCGUCACACGUCGUUGCCCCCCCAUCUACUCCUUCGGGAUUGCGGGGGGCGGAUGAUGGCCUCCCGUGCGCCUCGUCGCGCGGUUGGCAUAAAUGCCAAGUCCUUGGCGACGCACGCCACGACAAUCGGUGGUUGCGAAACCUCGGUUGCCCGUCGUGUGCGGUCGUCGCGCAUCGAGGGCUCGAAAAAAUUGCCGGCCUCCGGCUCGGCUUUCAACGCGACCCCAGGUCAAGCGGGGUUACCCGCUGAAUUUAAGCAUAUCAAUAAGCGGAGGA